RNAcentral lists this long non-coding RNA (349 nucleotides) under Carica papaya (papaya). Its description in RNAcentral is "long non-coding RNA (CPAP_LNC012034)". Lineage: Eukaryota; Viridiplantae; Streptophyta; Magnoliopsida; Brassicales; Caricaceae. The record is from RNAcentral.
AACUAGAGUACGUCGCGUGGUAAGGUAUGCUGACUUGGUGCCACACAGGAAGCCACGCAGAUAAUUUGCAUACCUACGAUCGGACGUCCUAGAUGCGUUCCCGCAUGCGUGGACGGUCCGGAUCCGUUCCCUCUUUAGGCAUGAUCGGAUGAUCGCUAUUAAAUGCGAUGAACGGUUCAAAUUUGUUCCAUCUUUAAACAUGAUCGUACGGUCGAGAUCAAAUUAUGAUGAACGAUAUAGAUUCAUUUAUCCUUUAAAGGCGAUUGGACGGUCGAGAUCAAAUGCGAUGAACGACCCAAAUUUAAGGAAGACAGGUAUAAAUAUCUCACUUCAUACCGAACCGAACCCA